UGCCUUUUUGGGAAAAAAAAG
Molecule: non-coding RNA, 21 nt
Filed under: Caenorhabditis elegans
Lineage: Eukaryota; Metazoa; Nematoda; Chromadorea; Rhabditida; Rhabditidae
Source: RNAcentral